AGCUGCUACUCGAGUAUCUCAGUCAACUUACAGAAGAGUGGUCCAAGAGUCAGAAGAUAUAGAAAAUAUACCUUCCUGUUCCUUUACCAGUCCAAGGAAAAAAAAGGUUAAGAAAAUCUCAGAAGAUUGGUAACAUUACUUUGACCCAAAUUAAAGAUAUAAAACAAAUAGUGUAUGAUUUCUACAUAGUUGGAAAAAGAAGACCUACUCUAAAAUAUGUACCAAAACAGAAGAUAACAGAAAAGCUCUUAUGGAAUCCUACGACAUACGAUUGAAAAGGAUCAAAUAUUUAAAGCAAAUUUUAAAAUAUAAAGAGGAAGGCCGUAAUAUUGUAUAUACUGAUGAAAGUUACAUACAUAGCAGUCAUACAAAGGACAAAGGGUGGUUUGAUGAAAGUCGACAUAGAAUUAGAAAACCCAUUUCCAAAGGACAGAGACUGAUAAAUCUUCAUGCUGGAGGAAGAAAUAAUUUCGUAAAUAAUGGGUUACUGAUUUUUCGCUCAGGGUCAAAAAGCGAAGACUAUCAUGAUGACAUGAACCAUCACAACUUUAUGAAAUGGGCCGAAAAUCAGUUAAUUCCAAAUUUACUACCUAAUUCCGUCCUAGUCAAUGCAGCUUAUUACAAUGUGCCUGUAGUCAAGAAUGUUACAUCUGGAAGUAAAAAGCAGGAAAUAGUUGACUGGCUCAAGGAACGUAAUUUUACAUUUGAUGCAAAACUCACCAAGACAGAGUUAUAUGAAAUAGUGUCUGAAAAUAAAAAAAAGUAUCCUCUAAAAAACAAGUUGGACGACCUAAUAGAAAAGCAUGGACACAUUGUGUUACGUUUGCCUCCAUACCACCCAGAGCUUAAUCCGAUAGAAAAAAUUUGGGCAACUGUUAAGAAUUGGGUGGCAAGCAGAAAUUCCACUUUUAAAUUGACGGAUGUCGAAACUUUGAUAUAGCAGAAAUUUGCGGAAAUUUCGAAUGAUGAGUGAAUAAAUAUUUGCAACCAUAUAGACAACAUAGAAAAACAAUAUUUCGAAAGUCAUAGAAAGUCAAAGUCAAGAAGCAUUGGCUUCUUUAAAAUUUACAGUAAAUACAGGCUCAUCUGAUGAAGAGA
Molecule: long non-coding RNA, 1098 nt
Organism: Anthonomus grandis grandis
Lineage: Eukaryota; Metazoa; Arthropoda; Insecta; Coleoptera; Curculionidae
Exons: 3
Source: RefSeq, a predicted model, not a curated record